RNAcentral lists this ribosomal RNA (482 nucleotides) under uncultured bacterium. Its description in RNAcentral is "partial 16S ribosomal RNA". It matches the Rfam family "Bacterial small subunit ribosomal RNA", at positions 30 to 507 of the family's 1533-position model. The record is from RNAcentral.
AUUGAACGCUGGCGGCAUGCCUUACACAUGCAAGUCGAACGGUAACAGGUCUUCGGAUGCUGACGAGUGGCGAACGGGUGAGUAAUACAUCGGAACGUGCCCGACCGUGGGGGAUAACGGAGCGAAAGCUUUGCUAAUACCGCAUACGAUCUACGGAUGAAAGCAGGGGACCGCAAGGCCUUGCGCGGUCGGAGCGGCCGAUGGCAGAUUAGGUAGUUGGUGGGAUAAAAGCUUACCAAGCCGACGAUCUGUAGCUGGUCUGAGAGGACGACCAGCCACACUGGGACUGAGACACGGCCCAGACUCCUACGGGAGGCAGCAGUGGGGAAUUUUGGACAAUGGGCGAAAGCCUGAUCCAGCCAUGCCGCAUGCAGGAUGAAGGCCUUCGGGUUGUAAACUGCUUUUGUACGGAACGAAAAGACUCUUUCUAAUAAAGAGGGUCCAUGACGGUACCGUAAGAAUAAGCACCGGCUAACUACGUG